This is a long non-coding RNA of Oreochromis niloticus (Nile tilapia), 1808 nucleotides long. RefSeq lists it as uncharacterized. Lineage: Eukaryota; Metazoa; Chordata; Actinopteri; Cichliformes; Cichlidae. The transcript has 2 exons. The record is from RefSeq and is a predicted model, not a curated record.
UUUCCCUUCACAUUUAGUGCAUGUCACAUUCCUUAAUUGGCUUUUGCUUAAAAAACAAUGACGAAAGAACAUGCAGGAGGCAACUCUCCUCGCCUGCUGAUAUUUUCUUUUUGCCUCUUUAAGGAAAAACUAAAACUCAAGGUAAUGUGAGAUUUAAUGAGAGGAGACAUGUUUGUUGUGUUAUUCCCGGCUAGCUCUUUCUGUCCACAGAAAUUCCCCUCUGCUGUUUGCCACUCCCUGUAUGACUGACUACGCGUGCUCACAGAGGCAAGAAGAAGAAUUAUUUCCAUAUGACCUGAAGACAGAGAAACUCUACUUCACUUUUCAAAAUAAAACCCACAUUACCAAAAACCUUUUAUUCUUCAUCUUUCCAAAUCAUCAUCAAAUUCCUUCUGUGAGAGUCAUGAAAGGAAUUUUUUUUUCUUAUGCAAUGCUCCAUUGGUAAAUGCACCAGUGUACAUUAGCCUACUUCCAAUAUGUUUUUUUUUCUAGUAAGGGGGCUUACUGAAUGUCUAAACCAAUAUAUCUCAAACUUUUUUCAAAACAUUAACACCUCACUGUUUUUCAUCAAAAGUUAACAAUGAAAAAGUAUUUAAGCUUAUUUAGUGAAAUGUCAGCACAACAGCAUCUGCAACCUCUUGUUUCUUAAAAAAAACAUCCUGAUAUCAAAAUAAAGUUAACACUUGUGAGCCUUAAUCACAUCACAGGUGUAAGCAUCACAGCAGACGACACUGUGUCAAAGUAACUGAGGAUGGAACACAGAAAAAGAUGAAGAACUCUUUCCUGGCCUAAUUUUUUUGUGUCUCCUAUAGCAUAUAACACCCCCUCUGAAAACAUGCUGCAGUAGAUCAAAAACUGAAGAAAACCAUGACUCAGCAGAUGGACAUUACCCGUGAAAAGAUCAAUGCAACUGAAGUGAAACAGAGCAAAGUUACAGAAGUUUGAUUAGAGACAUAGCUAAGCCUUUUGCAAAUUAGCAAAAUUUGGCACCACCUGUGAGAGCUGAUAUUUCUUCGGUAUUGAAAAGCAGAAAUUUGACUUUCUUGAUUUCUUGCUGUAGGUCACUUCCGCAAAACAAAAAAAUAAAAAAGCAGACAGCCGUACUCUAACAAAUUUUAGUGCGUAAUGCGUCCAUGCGUAAAGAAUCGAAUAUGGCAGAAAGUAGGAAUUUAUGACAGGAAACUGCUGUUGAAACACACUGGGAGAUGGAGCUGUGCAGGAAAUGCGAUUGUAUCACGGUGGAUUUUUUGGUAGCAAUACAACACAGCUACACAUCUUAACUCUUCCAAAGGUGAAAGGGCAGACGGUGGAAGGUCGACUGGGCUGAAUAAAUAAACAGUGACCUUGGAUGAGGUUUGGCCAAACCACACAUCCCCUUUUACUAAUAGAGCAGAGCCAAGAAUAAAGGUGAGUAAAUAUACAGGUCGAUAAACUGAUAACAGACUAAAAGACAGAUAACCCUCAGCAUGUUAGAGAAGGUGAAACAGGGAUUAGGCUAGAUUCUAAACAGAUAUGUAUAUGUCAUGAGCACGUUGUUAGCCAAAAUUAGUUUUUCACAUUGACUCCCCCUCUCAGGCUUUUUAUAAAGACAUUCCACUGGAAUGACUGAAACUUACUGUAACCAUUAUUGAGAUGGAAACUCUUUUUUUAAACACAACUGCUGCUUCUUCUCUGUAAAAUAUGCUUUUCUGUCACGACUGGUACAGAGCAGUCCAGUUUCAAGGAACUUGGCACUUUAUGUUCAAAUAAAAACACUGGCAUGCACCACUCCUUUAAUAAGCCAGUUUGCAAAAAAAAAAAAAAAAAAA